Molecule: ribosomal RNA, 1478 nt
Filed under: uncultured bacterium
Lineage: Bacteria
Description: partial 16S ribosomal RNA
Rfam family: Bacterial small subunit ribosomal RNA
Source: RNAcentral
UCCUGGCUCAGAACGAACGCUGGCGGCGUGGAUAAGACAUGCAAGUCGAACGGGAACACGUUUGUAGCAAUACAAAUUUGUUUCAGUGGCGAACGGGUGCGUAACACGUGAGCAAUCUGCCGGGAAAUGGGGGAUAGCUCGCCGAAAGGCGAAUUAAUACCGCAUGUGGCUAGAGGUGACAUCAUCUCAAAGCUAAAGUAGCAAUACGUUUCCUGAUGAGCUCGCGGCCUAUCAGCUAGUUGGUAAGGUAACGGCUUACCAAGGCUAAGACGGGUAGCUGGUCUGAGAGGACGACCAGCCACACUGGAACUGAGACACGGUCCAGACACCUACGGGUGGCAGCAGUCGAGAAUUUUUCACAAUGGGGGAAACCCUGAUGGAGCGACGCCGCGUGGAGGAUGAAGGCCCUUGGGUCGUAAACUCCUGUCAUGCGGGAACAAGAAAGUGAUAGUACCGCAAGAGGAAGAGACGGCUAACUCUGUGCCAGCAGCCGCGGUAAUACAGAGGUCUCAAGCGUUGUUCGGUUUCAUUGGGCGUAAAGGGUGCGUAGGUGGCGAUGUAAGUCUGGUGUGAAAUCUCGGGGCUCAACCUCGAAAUUGCACCGGAUACUGCGUUGCUAGAGGAUUGUGGGGGAGAGUGGAAUUCACGGUGUAGCAGUGAAAUGCGUAGAUAUCGUGAGGAAGACCAGUUGCGAAGGCGACUCUCUGGGCAACUCCUGACACUGAGGCACGAAGGCUAGGGGAGCAAACGGGAUUAGAUACCCCAGUAGUCCUAGCAGUAAACGGUGCACGUUUGGUGUGGGCAGGUUCAGACCCUGUCCGUGCCGGAGCUAACGCGUUAAACGUGCCGCCUGGGAAGUACGGUCGCAAGAUUAAAACUCAAAGAAAUUGACGGGGGCCCGCGCAAGCGGUGGAGCAUGUGGUUUAUUUCGAAGCAACGCGAAGAACCUUACCAGGUCUUGACAUCCUUUGACCAUCCUAGAGAUAGGACUUUCCCUUCGGGGACAAAGUGACAGGUGGUGCAUGGUUGUCGUCAGCUCGUGUCGUGAGAUGUUGGGUUAAGUCCCGCAACGAGCGCAACCCUUAUUGUUAGUUGCCACCAUUUAGUUGGGCACUCUAGCGAGACUGCCGGUGACAAACCGGAGGAAGGUCGGGAUGACGUCAAGUCAUCAUGCCCCUUAUGACCUGGGCUACACACGUGCUACAAUGGGAAGUACAACGAGUCGCGAAGUCGCGAGGCUAAGCAAAUCUCUUAAAGCUUCUCUCAGUUCGGAUUGUAGGCUGCAACUCGCCUACAUGAAGCCGGAAUCGCUAGUAAUCGCGGAUCAGCACGCCGCGGUGAAUACGUUCCCGGGCCUUGUACACACCGCCCGUCACACCACGAGAGUUUGUAACACCCGAAGCCGGUGGGCUAACCUUUAAGGAGGCAGCCGUCUAAGGUGGGAUAGAUGAUUGGGGUGAAGUCGUAACAAGGUAGCC